Molecule: long non-coding RNA, 3726 nt
Filed under: Marmota monax (woodchuck)
Lineage: Eukaryota; Metazoa; Chordata; Mammalia; Rodentia; Sciuridae
Source: RNAcentral
AUAUAUAAUCUGCUGAAUUGGGGUAUAGCUUAGGCAUAAAGCACUUGCCUGUCAUGUGCAAGGCCUGGGUUCCAUUCUUAGCACUGUAGAGGGAAACAAUAAAUGGCUGCCCACAAUUCAGUUUGUGAACACUAGCUUUAAAUAGCUGUAGGGAAGCCACUGAACACUUCUAUAGGAUGCAUUGAGCUUUUUUCUAUUAAUAUUUCAUUAUUCUAUUUGGAUUUAAGAUUUUACAGUUAGAAAUUUGCUUACCCAUUUUCUAUAAAAUUACCUAGACCUUUGAGUUUUAGUUCAGAAAGAAAAUUUUAUUUCAGUCAUCCUGAAUCAAAAUCUCAUUUUUUUCAGCCAGUUUCUUUUUAAAAAUAUAUUUUUUUAAAGAGAGAGAGAGAGAGAAUUUUUUUUAAAUGUUUUUAUUUUAGUUCUCAGCGGACACAACAUCUUUGUACAUGGUGCUGAGGAUCGAACCCGGGCUGCACGCAUGCCAGGCGAGCGCGCUACCGCUUGAGCCACAUCCCCAGCCCUCAGCCAGUUUCUAUCAUGUGAUUUUAUUAUAAUUUGUCUUAAGAAUACUGUGGAAAACAAAAUAUAAUGGUCCUUGUAGAAUCUGGAAGAAAAUUAGAAUUAAUAUAAAUGUUCAUUGUUUAUGCAAUAGUAGCUAAGAGGAUUAAAAAUCUAGAAAAUAUGACUACUAUGUAGAUAAGUAUGCUAUUUCAAGGAGUUAAUAGUAAUUCAUCAGGCUUACUUGCAGCCCAAGUGAAUUAGUUUGCAAGAACCUCUGAAUCCCCUUUGUUGUUAAGGAUACCCUACUGGACAAAUAACCCUCUUCUUAAAAAAAAAAGAAACAAAAAGAUUUUAUACAGCAUUGUUUGGUAACCAAAAAAAAAAAAAAAAUAGCAGGUACAGAGGAGGGCUGGGGUUGUAACUCAGUGGUAGAGCGCUUGCCUAGCACGUGUGAGGCGCACUGGGUUCGAACUAUAGCACCAUAUAUAAAUAAAAUAAAAGGUACAUUGACAACUAAAAAAAAAAUUAAGAAGUGGGGGUGGGGAGGAGAAACUUGAUAGCAUACCUGUAUAUAUUGAAGCAUACCUGUAUAUUAGUGUCACAGAAAUGGGAUGUCUAGACUUACAUUGGUAACCUGCUUCUCAGUCCCCAGAGUUUGGUGGUGUGCUUCAUUUCCACUAAUGACAACUUGACCUUCUGGACUUGACUAUAAAUGGUAGUGUCAGAUCAAAGUUCCAUCUGAAAACCAGGCUGAUUGCUAGUAAUACUUUUCACUCGUUGCCCUUAUAAUUAGGAUUAGAUUUUUGGCUACAUGUUUACCCUGACAUCACAGUGGUAUAAUGGGCAUCAUUUUCCAAAAAAAAAGAAAACAAGUUCCCAAAUAUGAGAAACAAAAUGAGGUAGCAGUGGAGCCCUGGCAAACCCCAAAGAUUUCAAAAGUGUCAGUGCAAAAAAAAAAACUAAGCCACUGACAUUUGAGCAGCUAUUAUCUUGAUUUUCUUUUCUAAUGUGGAGCCAUUCUUCUGCAUGUCUUACAUCCUUGGAGAAAUUUGAUAUAAAUAAGUAGAGGUAAGAUGAGCUGAAACCAAAAUUAUUAUCUCUAAAGUAUAAUAGAUUAUGGAAACAGUAGUUUGUUUUUCUGAAUAAAAACAAGACAACUUUUAAGUUCUCUUUUUGGAAAAAAAAUAGAGAAAAUUUCAACUUGAUUUUGUAAAUUAUUCCAUUUUUAAUAUCCUCAACUCAGGAUGACAUUAUUAUGCCUCUAUAACUCAGGAAUGUCUAUGUAAAGCUGUCCUUACAUAAAGACCUCAGGGAUCACACAAGUGAUUUUUGUUUGAUUUUAGAAAGUUGUAACUCUUAUUUUCUACCCUGGUCAUUACUUCAUGAUUAGUGACCAGUCAUUUCUUCCUGGAUCUCAGGUCUGUUUGAUUAUCUUAUUAUGUUUUGUGCUUUUAUUCAUUAUUUUUAACCUACUUGAUUCUAAAAGAAGGGAAGGGAGGCGAGAAAAACUGGUGAGUAGGGCUGAAUGUUGGCCAGAAGAUGUAGUAGAGUUGCUAGGGGUGAUGCUUUUCAUAUUAUGUCUCAUCUUCUCCCCUGUACCCCGCUUUUUUUGUGUGUGUGGUGCUGGGGAUUGAACCCAGGGCUUUGUGCAUGCAAGGCAAAUACUCUACCAACUGAGCUAUAUAUCCCCAGCCCCUUCUUCCCCCUUUUGUAUACCACUCUGGGUUGAGUGAGAUGGAUGUACCCGUUGGCCCUGCUUUUGAGAAUCUUUAUGUAAUGGCAUACAUAGCUGAUAGAGGUAAUUGUUUAUUUCAGUAGUUCAGGGGCAGGAAAAAGUUGGGAACAACUGCUGUACCCCUAGCUGCUGAGAAUCCAGUGAGCCCGUAUUUCCUUUGGGUUCAGAAAAUUCCCAUGUGUCCUAGAAGACAGGAAGAAGCAUCAGAAUCUCUGGCAGCCAGAAGUUCACUAAUUGCCUAACAACUGCCUGACGAAUAAGAGGGGGACAAUGACUGGUUAACACUUUUGACAACCACUUGGUCUCCUGAUCAGAUUUGGGUUCAUCUAAGAGUGACUGCAAAGCCAUCUGUGCCAUGAGGGAGACUUCAUUUGGAACUGUUUUGAAGUUUUAGCUAAUAGUGGAUGCAUAUUUCUAUAUAUGCUCCCAUGCAGGCCCCCCUCUUUGUUUUAUCUUUCCACUGCUGUGGUGGCAACAUCCCCAAAUACAGCCUCUGAUUAAUCCAUAGUUGUGUUCAGCACACGCUGAAGAUGUCAGCAUCUUCAAAUUAUUCAGUAAAUAAGAAGAAAAGAGACUAUCCAUGCACAGUCUUAGCCAUUUGGGCUUAUGAAUUAACACCCCAAAACUUACAACAAAUAUAUAUUACAGAGAAAAAGCAAUCAAAUUAGCUUUAUUUUUCCACCUUUUUCAAUACACUUAAUUCAUACAUAUUUCUGUAGCAUCUAUUCUGCUCAGUGUUUUGAUAACCAGUCAUCUCUCAUAGACUCAUGAGGCAAAGUUGCCCAAAGUAUAGCGUAUUUUACUUGCCAGCUGUUUGCCUUUGUUUUUCCCAGGAGGUAUAGGAUGGUUGAAAUGGAUCUUGAAAAAGCUAAGAAAUUAAAAGGAAAUAGACUGAUUAACCAUGGUUGCGUGUUUUUUGCAUUCAGGCUUAAUGUUUCCAGAGCUCUGCCAAAGUGUUUAUUUAGCAAACUGUAACAUCUGAAACACCUGGAAUGACUUUGUAUAAACAUCAUUAGUUAGUAAUAUUUGAAAUAUUUUAAUGGAACUAUACUUCCUAUUGACUAUAUUUGGCAUUAAGCUGACAUUCCAGUGGCCUAGAAGCCUACUAUAGGCUUAUUUCUGGCUCCUUAUUUUCCCAAUUAUUUGACUUUUCCAAAACCACUUUUUGUGUAUUGCACUAUAUGAAUGGAAAGGAGGAGGGGACUUCAAGAGUCUUGUAAAAUAGAAGAGACCUUCCUAUUUGAAAAUGUGUAAGAACUUGCUGGGUUUUUAGUUUGUACAUGCAAAAUUAAGUCUAGUGAAACAUGUCUGAACACAUAUCUCUGCCAUUCUUAUUUUUACAGUUUAUUACACGUCCUGGUUCUGGAGAGUAGCAUCCUAGUCUUGUUAUUAACUUGGUUCCUUUAUUGCAGUAAAUAUUUACAAAGUGCCUUAUACAGUUUGUCAACAGAAAUUUUGUGUCCAAAUAGAUGUGUUUCCUGGUAGGCAAU